This 377-nucleotide ribosomal RNA is filed under the name Salmonella enterica subsp. enterica serovar Virchow. Its description in RNAcentral is "bacterial SSU rRNA". It matches the Rfam family "Bacterial small subunit ribosomal RNA", at positions 1 to 373 of the family's 1533-position model. The record is from RNAcentral. Lineage: Bacteria; Pseudomonadati; Pseudomonadota; Gammaproteobacteria; Enterobacterales; Enterobacteriaceae.
UUAAUUGAAGAGUUUGAUCAUGGCUCAGAUUGAACGCUGGCGGCAGGCCUAACACAUGCAAGUCGAGCGGUAACAGGAGAAAGCUUGCUUUCUUGCUGACGAGCGGCGGACGGGUGAGUAAUGUAUGGGGAUCUGCCCGAUAGAGGGGGAUAACUACUGGAAACGGUGGCUAAUACCGCAUAAUGUCUACGGACCAAAGCAGGGGCUCUUCGGACCUUGCACUAUCGGAUGAACCCAUAUGGGAUUAGCUAGUAGGUGGGGUAAAGGCUCACCUAGGCGACGAUCUCUAGCUGGUCUGAGAGGAUGAUCAGCCACACUGGGACUGAGACACGGCCCAGACUCCUACGGGAGGCAGCAGUGGGGAAUAUUGCACAAUG